Molecule: long non-coding RNA, 2920 nt
Organism: Alexandromys fortis (reed vole)
Lineage: Eukaryota; Metazoa; Chordata; Mammalia; Rodentia; Cricetidae
Exons: 4
Source: RefSeq, a predicted model, not a curated record
CCGCUGCAUCCGGUUCUCAGGUCCCCUCUCCCCGACCCUGGCGACCUGCAGAUUCCACGACCUCUGCCUCCCCAGGGAAGCUCUGGGCUCAGGAGUCACAGCACCGUCAGUCACAGCACCGACUACUUUCUGCUUCAGAAGAGCACCGCACUAGGAAGGUCAUAAUCCUAAGACUUUGGUGACCCCAGCUGUUUGCCGACCUUUUGGGACUUGGCGUCAGCACAAUGCAGCUUCAAAGAAACCCAGACAAGUUUAGAAGGGUCUGGAACAUGCGGGGUAAGCACUCUACUACUUAGCUGUGGCCUUAGCCCAGGCCUGGAUUCCCAGUUGCUGUGUUCAGUGCUGGAACAGCAUCUGGCCUGCAGUUUCCUCUCUGCAAGAUUGCGCUGAAGGUGGCAAGGGAGCAAGCUGCGUGGUCCUGGGAGGCACCAUCUAGCAAGGGGAUGUGAAAGGACAAAGGCUCUGAGAUGCAGUGUUCCUCGCUCAGUUCAGGAAAACCAGGGAUGACCUGGCCUUUUCCAUGUUCCGUUCUUUCCUCUUUAUAUCAUAACUGUUCUUAAAGACUUGUUUCGUUAACUAUCUAGUGCCCGUUUCUCCAUUAGACUCUUGAAUAUCCUGGUACUAAGGCUGGGCUUGGUUCUUAGCUAAAUUCUCAUCACAGGGCUUGGCACACAGUAGGUGCCUAGCCAUGUUUGCUGAAUAAAUCCAUGAUGACUGGGAAAACAACAACAACAACACAACAAUAGCAACAACAACAACACAACAGCAAACCAACCCCAUCUCUCACAGUUGCCCCGGAGAAGGGAGGCAGAGGAAGAGGUCACAGUGCCUGUGUGUGUUUGCACUGCUGGGCUGUGCUGAGCGGGAAGGCCCAGCCUCAUGAUCCUAGCCACUUUCCAUUUUGUUGUCGGACUAGGGGCUUUCUCUUCACCGCCUGCACCCCCAAACACGGUGCCUGUAUGAUCCUCUCUUAAUCUCUCUUUCUGACCCUCUCCUGCAUGUAUAUAACAGAUUCUGGUCACUUCACCCCCGUUACCCUCUCUUGCUCCCUUCUCACACCUACAGAUCUCGCCUCUUUCCAGUUGUCUCCUGCCAUCCCCAACUUAUCCCGCCACAUGGAUCUUGGGCACUACCUGGUCAUUAAAAGGAAGUUAAUUUUUGUAUGUGUGUAUGUGUAAAUGUAUGUGUGAAUGUGUGUAUGCUUAUGUGCAUGUAUGUGUAUAUGUGUGUGAAUAUGCAUGUAUUUGUGUGAGUUUGUGUAUGUGUGUAUGAGUUAGUGUAUGUAUGAAUGUAUGUAUUAGUGUGUGUAUGUGUGUGUGUGAGUGUGUAUAUGUGUGAAUUAUGUAUGUGUAUGUGUGAAGGUGUGUGUGAGUGUGUAUGUGUGAGUGUGUGUGUGUGAAUGUAUGUGUGUGUAUAUGUGAUGUGUAUGUACGUGUGACUGUGUAUAUGUGUAUAUGUAUGUAUGUGUAAAUAUUUGUAUAGUAUGUAUAUAUGUGUGCAUGUGUAUAUAUGUAUGUAUGUGUGACUAUGUGUAUAUGUAUGUAUGUGUGACUGUUUAUAUGUAUAUAUGUAUGUGUGAAUGUGUAUAUAUGUAUGUAUGUGUGACUAUGUGUAUAUGUAUGUAUGUAUGUAUGUGAAUGUGUAUAUAUGUAUGUGUGAACGUGUGCACUUGUGGAGAUGGGAGGGCGACUUGUGGGAGUCAGUUCUCUUCUCCCCGUGUGGAUUCUGAGAACUGAACUCAAAUGGUCAGGUUUGGGGACAAUCCUGUACUUCAAGAUCUGUCUAGUUACCUAUUUAAUGUCUGUUUCUCUACCAGACUCUACCUGUUGAGCCAUCUUUCUGGGGUCUUUAAAAUGACCUCACAUUUGCCACUGGGGUUUUUUAGAAGGUCUCCCAUGUUUUUAUCAAGGAUUACCUUUUGCCAGGUCCAUAAUCCAAGCUACUCCAGAUUCUGAGGCUGGAUACUUGCCAAAUUUAAAACCUGCCUGGGUUGCAGAAUGAGUUCAAGGUCAGUUUAGACAACGGAAUGAGACUCUGUCUCAAAGUCAAGGGAAAAGAGGAAUCAAGCAGGCUAAACUCAGCGGCAGGGGGCUUGCUGGGCACACAAGGCCACGUGUCCUGGUGUCACACAUACUCAGCGGCAGGGGGCUUGCUGGGCACACAAGGCCACGUGUCCUGGUGUCACACAUGCACAGGUCAUCUCUUCAAUCUAAUACUGCAGGUUGUGUAGUGAAUGCUACACCCCAGCCAGCUUGCUAGAAGGCCAGAAAACAUUGCCGAUAAGGUGACAGGGUCUCUGAAGGUCUGAUUUGCAGGAGGAGGCUCGUUUGGGUAGUUUGGAGGGUUCCUAGAGUAGAGGGAGUGGGGAUGCAGCUUCAUUUAGUGUACUCUGUGUGGGUGGCAUUGUUGGCCACGUCCCUCAGAUGCCAGAGUGAGCCCAGAGUGGCCUGAGCUCAGCUGGUGCAAUCUCUCUGGUUACCCAAGGAAGCAUGGUCUAUGCCUGCCCCACGCCCUCAGAGCCCGAGAACGCUAGGGCAAAGCCAAGCCUCUGGUCCCGUGACCCUGAAGCUUCCUGUGAAUCUCAUGUUCAUUACAUCACAGGUAUGGGGAAGCUCCAUGGAUGAGGAUUUGAUGCCAGGCUUGGUGUGACCUCUGUCCUCUUUCAACACAAAGGGAGGAAGGGGCAGUAGAUCUCAGUCCCCAUAGGACCUCAGGGAUGGAUUUAAGCAAGGCCCACUGAGGCGGCAGGUAGGAAGGCCCCAGGCCUUUUAUCCCCCUCUCUUUAAAAUUUUUUAUCAAUUAUUUUAAAACUUCAUAUGAAAGUACUGUGUCUUUAUCACUUCUGGGUCUCCUAUUCCCUCUCCAGCAACUCCCAUGUCACCCUCCAAAUUUAUGAUCACUAUAAUAAUAAUAAUAAUAA